GGCCUGGCUGGGCGGUCUGCCUAACGGUAUGUACUGUCUGGCUGGGCCUUACCUCUUGGUGAGCCGGCAUGUUCUUCAUUGAGUGUGUCGGGGAACCAGGACUUUUACCUUGAGAAAAUUAGAGUGUUCAAAGCAGGCUUAUGCCUGAAUACAUUAGCAUGGAAUAAUAGAAUAGGACGU
Molecule: ribosomal RNA, 180 nt
Filed under: uncultured Glomeromycotina
Lineage: Eukaryota; Fungi; Glomeromycota
Description: partial small subunit ribosomal RNA
Rfam family: Eukaryotic small subunit ribosomal RNA (bases 91-180)
Source: RNAcentral